Molecule: transfer RNA, 75 nt
Filed under: Dorea longicatena
Lineage: Bacteria; Bacillati; Bacillota; Clostridia; Lachnospirales; Lachnospiraceae
Description: tRNA-Pro
Rfam family: tRNA
About the family: Transfer RNA (tRNA) molecules are approximately 80 nucleotides in length. Their secondary structure includes four short double-helical elements and three loops (D, anti-codon, and T loops). Further hydrogen bonds mediate the characteristic L-shaped molecular structure. tRNAs have two regions of fundamental functional importance: the anti-codon, which is responsible for specific mRNA codon recognition, and the 3' end, to which the tRNAs corresponding amino acid is attached (by aminoacyl-tRNA synthetases). tRNAs cope with the degeneracy of the genetic code in two manners: having more than one tRNA (with a specific anti-codon) for a particular amino acid; and 'wobble' base-pairing, i.e. permitting non-standard base-pairing at the 3rd anti-codon position.
Source: RNAcentral
CGGGGUGUGGCUCAGCUUGGCUAGAGCGCCUGGUUUGGGACCAGGAGGUCGCAGGUUCGAAUCCUGUCUCCCCGA